Coturnix japonica (Japanese quail) is the source of this 2476-nucleotide RNA transcript. It is a transcript of the gene named leucine rich repeat containing 3B, with no coding region annotated. Lineage: Eukaryota; Metazoa; Chordata; Aves; Galliformes; Phasianidae. The record is from RefSeq and is a predicted model, not a curated record.
GUGAGGCUGCGCUGCCUGUUGCGCCGCGCCGAGCGGAGCCGAGCCGCACCGAGCUGAGUCGCACCGCGAAGUUUUGCGGGAGGCACCGCCGCUCUGCGAUGCGUGUUUUUAAGAAGAGUAUUGACCAUGAGGAAGUUCACAUGUUAGUCAAUUUUUACUAAUCCCUCUGAAGAAAAUGAAACCACACUUCAGCUUUGCCGAUCCUUUCCCACCACUGUUGGCUGAAUGAGAAAUGGUCGUGUGAUUAUGCUGACACCCCAGCAUGCAUUUGGUAGACCUUUGGUUAACUCGUUCCCUCUCCAUGUGUCUACUCUUACAAAGUUUUGUCCUCAUGAUACUGUGCUUUCAUUCUGCCAGUAUGUGCCCAAAAGGCUGCCUCUGUUCUCACUCCGGAGGUUUAAAUGUCAGCUGUAGCAAUGCGAACCUCAAGGAGAUACCCAGAGAUCUUCCGCCAGAAACAGUCUUACUUUAUUUGGACUCCAAUCAGAUAACCUCUAUCCCCAAUGAAAUUUUUAAGGAUUUGCACCAAUUGAGAGUCCUCAAUUUAUCAAAAAACGGGAUUGAAUUUAUAGAUGAACAUGCCUUCAAAGGGGUGGCAGAAACUUUGCAGACUCUGGAUUUGUCCGACAACCGGAUUCAAAGUGUGCACAAAAACGCUUUCAACAACUUAAAGGCCAGAGCCAGGAUUGCAAACAACCCAUGGCACUGCGACUGCACGCUGCAGCAGGUAUUGAGGAGUAUGGCCGUCAAUCAUGAGACAGCCAACAAUGUCAUCUGCAAGACCUCUGUGCUGGAUGAACACGCUGGGAGACCAUUCCUCAAUGCUGCCAAUGAUGCUGACCUCUGUAACCUUCCCAAAAAAACUACUGAUUACGCCAUGCUGGUCACUAUGUUCGGCUGGUUCACCAUGGUGAUCUCAUAUGUGGUUUAUUAUGUCCGGCAAAAUCAGGAGGAUGCAAGGAGGCACCUUGAAUACUUGAAAUCCCUGCCAAGCAGGCAAAAGAAACCAGAUGAAGCUGAUGACAUUAGCACUGUGGUAUAGUAUUCCGAAUACAAUGACUGUCUUUGAGAUGGAAACUAGAUUUGGAUGACACUAACACCAGAGGUUUACUUCUAACAUUCAUUGUAAACAUUAAGACUUUUUUUUUUCCCCGUUUAACUGAAUUACGCCACUGUUGAGCUUUCUAACCGAGAGUUUUGUCUGGGCGGUAUACUCUACUUGUUUCUCUGGUAUUCUAAAGCAAGUGAAUUAAUAUGUAAACCUUAGUUUAGACCCAUUCCACUAUUUAAUAAUGAAAUUUAUUUUUUUAAUUUAAAAAAAAAAAAAAAAGUAACGACAAAUAAAAGCGUAAAUUUGAACCAUGUAAAAGAGAGUUAUUUAUUGAUCAGAAAUCUGUCUGGUGCCAGGGCACCUUGGGAAAUGAUCAGUGCUUGUGAGGUGGAGGAUGAGAGUGAUGAUGAAGUGGGCUAUGAGAAGUACAAGAGCAGAGAAUUCCCAAAAGGCACUUCUCUCCCCAGGGCACAACGUGAAGAGCUGGUGAAUGGCAGCUGAUUUUUGGGAUUGCUCCUUGUGAUAGCAGAGGGAUACGAUAUGGAGAUAGCGGAGUGCUUUGAGUUCAGGAGAAAGGGAUGGAAAAUUGUGUGGGAACCUGGAGGGUGUUUCAGCAGUGCUGGGCAGAAACCAAGAUGAAGGAGAAACAUUUCAGGAUACCAAUGAGAGCUAAGACCUAUGAAUGUUGAGAACAUCUACGAAGAUACUCCAUUGCUGGCAACAGGUGUUCAGAUGAGCAAAGCAAGUGCAAAACUUCACAUAAAAGAGAAUGCAGUAUGUCCUUGAUCAUCUCUAACUACCAUAAAAGCACUUAGGUUAAUGCAAAGAUUUCUGUUUAGUUCGUUGGUUUUGAAUUAAGUUGUCAAAAUCUUGCAUUUUUCUAAGUCUUCAAGCAUGUUCACACUUUCUCUCCCUUGUUAGUGUGCUUGUUCUAGAAGUGGGAAGGUACUGUCAUUUCUUAAACUUGGGGAUAUAACUGAGAAGAAAAUAAAACAAGGAAGAAAAAACAACAGACAAGCUUUUGCAAACUGCAGAAGCAGCAGAAAUUGCUGUUUGUUUGUCUCCCAAUUAUGUCAAUUGUCCUACAAAAACAUGUCAGCUCUUCCCACGUACCUUGCCAGAGGCCUUAUAUCAUCACAUUUGAGACAAUGCUGUAGUUGUUUAAAAAAAAUGCGGUGUUUUCAGCUUUUGAGAGCAAAUUGUAUUCAUCAUGAUCACAGCACUGAUAUUGCCACAGUGGAGAACUGUUAAUUAAUCAAUUUCUUGUUUUAAAAAUGUGUCUCAAAACAACACCAACUCUACUGGCCAUUUUGCCAGGUAACCUUGUUCUAGUCCAGUGUUAAUACUGAAGAUAACAUUUUCUGUCAAAAUGGAGAACACACAGACUGGUGAAUAUAAAAUAAAUGAGACUUCAAACAAUCUGAA